Oreochromis aureus is the source of this 353-nucleotide long non-coding RNA. RefSeq lists it as uncharacterized. NCBI's taxonomy places the organism in Eukaryota, Metazoa, Chordata, Actinopteri, Cichliformes, Cichlidae. The record is from RefSeq and is a predicted model, not a curated record. The transcript has 3 exons.
ACACACUUAAGCAAUACAAAAGAACAUAAAAAGAGACAUUUGCUUCCCUAAACUUUAGUGCGGAUUUCACCAGUGACCAUGGUAGCCAGAUACUUCCUUCUGCUGUUUCUCCUCAGUGGAGCUGACAGUUCUCGGAUUAUUGGAGGCCGAGAUGCUGCCCCCCACUCACUCCCCUACAUGGCCUCAGUGCAACUUCAAGGUCGCCAUUUGUGUGGAGGAGCACUAGUGAGAGAGGACUUUGUACUCACAGCAGCACAUUGUGAGACACAAUACCCACAGUCGUGCUGGGAGUUGAUUCCCUGACAGGUACUGAGCCAACGAAGCAGCAGUUCCUUGUGGUCAAAUCUUUAAAG